AGAGUUUGAUCAUGGCUCAGGAUGAACGCUAGCGGCAGGCCUAAUACAUGCAAGUCGAACGGUAAGAUCUCGCUUGCGAGAUACACGAGUGGCGCACGGGUGAGUAACGCGUAUGCAACCUACCUUUAACUGGAGGAUAGCCCCGAGAAAUCGGGAUUAAUACUUCAUAACACUAUGAAACGACAUCGUUUUAUAUUUAAAGCUCCGGCGGUUAAAGAUGGGCAUGCGUGACAUUAGAUAGUUGGUGAGGUAACGGCUCACCAAGUCCACGAUGUCUAGGGGUUCUGAGAGGAUUAUCCCCCACACUGGUACUGAGACACGGACCAGACUCCUACGGGAGGCAGCAGUAAGGAAUAUUGGGCAAUGGACGAAAGUCUGACCCAGCCAUGCCGCGUGCAGGAUGACAGGACUAUGGGUCGUAAACUGCUUUUAUAUGGGAAGAAACUCCGCUACGUGUAGCGGACUGACGGUACCGUACGAAUAAGGAUCGGCUAACUCCGUGCCAGCAGCCGCGGUAAUACGGAGGAUCCAAGCGUUAUCCGGAUUUAUUGGGUUUAAAGGGUGCGCAGGCUGACUAAUAAGUCAGUGGUGAAAUCUCUCGGCUCAACCGAGAAACUGCCAUUGAUACUGUUAGUCUUGAGUACAGUUGUAGUGGGCGGAAUAUAGCAUGUAGCGGUGAGAUGCUUAGAUAUUACACAGAACACCGAUUGCGUAGGCAGCUUACUAAGCUAUAACUGACGCUGAUGCACGAAAGCGUGGGGAGCAAACAGGAUUAGAUACCCUGGUAGUCCACGCCGUAAACGAUGAUCACUCGUUGUUGGCAAUACACCGCCAGCGACUGAGCGAAAGCAUUAAGUGAUCCACCUGGGGAGUACGGUCGCAAGAUUGAAACUCAAAGGAAUUGACGGGGGCCCGCACAAGCGGAGGAACAUGUGGUUUAAUUCGAUGAUAUGUGAGGAAUCUUACCUGGGCUUAAAUGUAAGACGACAGUCCCCGAAAGGGGACUUUCCUUCGGGACGUCCUACAAGGUGCUGCAUGGUUGUCGUCAGCUCGUGCCGUGAGGUGUCGGGUUAAGUCCCAUAACGAGCGCAACCCCUAUUCUUAGUUGCCAUCAGGUAAUGCUGGGGACUCUAGGAAAACUGCCUACGCAAGUAGUGAGGAAGGUGGGGAUGACGUCAAAUCAGCACGGCCCUUACGUCCAGGGCUACACACGUGCUACAAUGGCCGGUACAGAGGGCAGCUACCUGGUGAAUGGAUGCAAAUCUCGAAAAUCGAUCUCAGUUCGGAUCGGAGUCUGCAACUCGACUCCGUGAAGUUGGAAUCGCUAGUAAUCGUGGAUCAGAAUGCCACGGUGAAUAUGUUCCCGGGCCUUGUACACACCGCCCGUCACACCACGAAAGUCGGUUGUACCAGAAGUUGCCGGGCUAACCCAAAAGGGGGGCAGGCACCCAAGGUAUGGCUGGUAAUUGGGGUGAAGUCGUAACAAGGUA
Molecule: ribosomal RNA, 1490 nt
Filed under: uncultured prokaryote
Description: partial 16S ribosomal RNA
Rfam family: Bacterial small subunit ribosomal RNA
Source: RNAcentral